CUGCGGGCCUGAACUGAGAAGAAAGGAAACUUUGAAGGGACAGCUCAAAAAAAAAAACAACCAAAAGCUUUUUAAACUAGCCUGGAGGUUAUAUCAGCAAAAGGACAGAUGUAUUCAGCAAUUUGAGUGGACAAGCUGCAAGCAGAGACCAAGAUGCAGCACUUGAACCUCACAGUUCAGAAGCUUCAGAGCCAGCACCCUGCAGGAUUUUGUCUACUGUUAUUUACAGAUCAAUAUCUCUGGAAAAUGCUGCUUUAUUGCUUCAGAUACCAAUCCAGGAUUCAAGGAAGGAGCUGGAGGUGGCAAGAAAGGCAGGACCAAAGAGGCCUCACAGAGCACCAAAUGAGCAUCAAUCACAGCCUCCUUAUCAGCAAUACAAUACCAUGAAAGAGCUAUUGAGCACAGUAAUCCAGAGCAACAUUUGA
Molecule: long non-coding RNA, 425 nt
Organism: Vidua chalybeata
Lineage: Eukaryota; Metazoa; Chordata; Aves; Passeriformes; Viduidae
Exons: 3
Source: RefSeq, a predicted model, not a curated record